GGGCUGCUAGCUCAAUUGGAUAGAGCGCACGACUUCGGAUCGUGAGGUUGAGGGUUCAAGUCCUUCGCGGCCCGCCA
Molecule: transfer RNA, 77 nt
Filed under: Candidatus Pelagibacteraceae bacterium
Lineage: Bacteria; Pseudomonadati; Pseudomonadota; Alphaproteobacteria; Candidatus Pelagibacterales; Candidatus Pelagibacteraceae
Description: tRNA-Arg
Rfam family: tRNA
About the family: Transfer RNA (tRNA) molecules are approximately 80 nucleotides in length.
Source: RNAcentral